UCAAUUGGUAUCAUCUUUGCAUCUGCACCAGAGAGGAAGAAAAAGUAGUAAGUUCUAACUGUUGCUCAAGAAGGCAUACUCAUGGCCGAUAGAAAUUUUUACAAUAUUUUUGGGCGUGAUUGUAUAUCAGAUCAAGUUCCCAGUGGAUGUUAAAUUCAAAAAACUUUCAACCAAUAGGGGAACCACCAGAAGUAUAAGAAAUUACAGAAAUAUAAAUCCAUUCUCCAAUGUCUGUAUCUGCUAUGCAGGUAGACAUGAAGAGAGAAAGAAA
This 271-nucleotide unclassified non-coding RNA is filed under the name Hevea brasiliensis (rubber tree). Lineage: Eukaryota; Viridiplantae; Streptophyta; Magnoliopsida; Malpighiales; Euphorbiaceae. The record is from RNAcentral.